Molecule: long non-coding RNA, 634 nt
Organism: Vespa mandarinia (Asian giant hornet)
Lineage: Eukaryota; Metazoa; Arthropoda; Insecta; Hymenoptera; Vespidae
Source: RefSeq, a predicted model, not a curated record
UAAAGUGCUUAUUGCUCUGUACGACGACAUUGGUUAUUAAAUAACACGGCGUUAUAUACGUGUGAGUGCAUCCCUCUCUUCGAACGAAAGAAGAACACGUUCAUCGUGUAUACGCACGCGCCGCCUAGAGGCCAAGUAGUGCGUUGACCUUCGCUAAGGAAGUGCCCAUGUCCCCAGGCCGGGUCACACUCGAGUCUUGCGAUCGUAGGAAAACAUGUACGACAGAAGUAUACACAACACGAGUCGCGAACUCAUUUUGAAGAUACGUUCACAUCGAAACAGUUAAAAGAGUUAAAGUAUAACAUAUACAUUUUCAUGCUUCAUAUACGAAAUAAGAGAAAUCAAAAAAGAUACUUUUUUCAAUAUAAUAUUAUGGUUUCGUCUCCUUCCGGAGCUUUCUUCUUCUGCUGCCCUGCUUCCAAGUAUUUGCUAAAGGCGGUACGACGUUACAAGAGACUCCACCCAUAAGGCUGACAUGAACACGUCCAGUACUUGGAUCCUUCUCUUUUAGAUAACACCUUACCAAGAAGGAUGUAAAGGUAUCAUGGAUAUGUAGAUAUUGUUCCUUUUCAAUGAACUGGUCUUUUCAGAUACUCCUACAUUACGACCUUAUAAAAUAAUCAACGUUAUAUUA